GCCUCUUGUCCACCUCUCCUCUCUUUCAUUCUUCCUCUUUCGUUUGACGCUAACAGCCUUCCAGUCAACAUGACCGCUGCGAGAGAACUGUGAUCGGCUUCAUACUCAUCCUCAUCCUCGCACCAGGUACAUAACAAAUCAUCAAAGCCGGGAUUAAAAUUUCGUGAAGGAGCAGCUUUGACUGCUGGAAGACUUAAGCGUAUUAGCUUUAAAAC
RNAcentral lists this long non-coding RNA (215 nucleotides) under Sinocyclocheilus grahami. RNAcentral describes it as "lncRNA (ENSSGRG00000005681.1)". The record is from RNAcentral. Lineage: Eukaryota; Metazoa; Chordata; Actinopteri; Cypriniformes; Cyprinidae.